CAGUAGCCGCGGUAAUACGGAGGGUGCAAGCGUUAAUCGGAAUUACUGGGCGUAAAGCGCACGCAGGCGGUUUGUUAAGUCAGAUGUGAAAUCCCCGGGCUCAACCUGGGAACUGCAUCUGAUACUGGCAAGCUUGAGUCUCGUAGAGGGGGGUAGAAUUCCAGGUGUAGCGGUGAAAUGCGUAGAGAUCUGGAGGAAUACCGGUGGCGAAGGCGGCCCCCUGGACGAAGACUGACGCUCAGGUGCGAAAGCGUGGGGAGCAAACAGGAUUAGAUACCCCUGUAGUCCCUGUCUCUUAUAC
This 301-nucleotide ribosomal RNA is filed under the name uncultured bacterium. Its description in RNAcentral is "partial 16S ribosomal RNA". It matches the Rfam family "Bacterial small subunit ribosomal RNA", at positions 509 to 807 of the family's 1533-position model. The record is from RNAcentral.